Molecule: ribosomal RNA, 542 nt
Filed under: uncultured bacterium
Lineage: Bacteria
Description: bacterial SSU rRNA
Rfam family: Bacterial small subunit ribosomal RNA
Source: RNAcentral
GGCGUAAAGCGAGCGCAGGCGGUUUGAUAAGUCUGAAGUUAAAGGCUGUGGCUCAACCAUAGUUCGCUUUGGAAACUGUCAAACUUGAGUGCAGAAGGGGAGAGUGGAAUUCCAUGUGUAGCGGUGAAAUGCGUAGAUAUAUGGAGGAACACCGGUGGCGAAAGCGGCUCUCUGGUCUGUAACUGACGCUGAGGCUCGAAAGCGUGGGGAGCGAACAGGAUUAGAUACCCUGGUAGUCCACGCCGUAAACGAUGAGUGCUAGGUGUUGGAUCCUUUCCGGGAUUCAGUGCCGCGGCUAACGCAUUAAGCACUCCGCUGGGGAGUACGACCGCAAGGUUGAAACUCAAAGGAUUGACGGGGCCCGCACAAGCGGUGAGCAUGUGGUUUAAUUCGAAGCAACGCGAAGAACCUUACCAGGUCUUGACAUCCCUUGACACGCCUAGAGAUAGGCCGUUCCUUCGGGGACAAGGUGACAGGUGUGCAUGGUUGUCGUCAGCUCGUGUCGUGAGAUGUUGGGUUAACGUCCCGUAACGAGGUACCGG